CCUACGGGGGGCAGCAGUGAGGAAUAUUGGUCAAUGGACGAGAGUCUGAACCAGCCAAGUAGCGUGAAGGAUGACUGCCCUAUGGGUUGUAAACUUCUUUUAUAUGGGAAUAAAAUGUUCCACGUGUGGGAUUUUGUAUGUACCAUAUGAAUAAGGAACGGCUAACUCCGUGCCAGCAGCCGCGGUAAUACGGAGGAUCCGAGCGUUAUCCGGAUUUAUUGGGUUUAAAGGGAGCGUAGGUGGAUUGUUAAGUCAGUUGUGAAAGUUUGCGGCUCAACCGUAAAAUUGCAGUUGAAACUGGCAGUCUUGAGUACAGUAGAGGUGGGCGGAAUUCGUGGUGUAGCGGUGAAAUGCUUAGAUAUCACGAAGAACUCCGAUUGCGAAGGCAGUUCACUGGACUGCAACUGACACUGAGGCUCGAAAGUGUGGGUAUCAAACAGGAUUAGAUACCCUAGUAGUC
RNAcentral lists this ribosomal RNA (460 nucleotides) under uncultured bacterium. RNAcentral's name for it is "partial 16S ribosomal RNA". It matches the Rfam family "Bacterial small subunit ribosomal RNA", at positions 338 to 795 of the family's 1533-position model. The record is from RNAcentral.